This 1080-nucleotide ribosomal RNA is filed under the name aff. Mermithidae sp. Ce7. RNAcentral's name for it is "SSU rRNA". It matches the Rfam family "Eukaryotic small subunit ribosomal RNA", at positions 122 to 1209 of the family's 1831-position model. Lineage: Eukaryota; Metazoa; Nematoda; Enoplea. The record is from RNAcentral. RNAcentral also lists the same sequence under 1 other name.
AGAUUUUAGUUAUCUACUUGGAUAACUGUGGUAAUUCUAGAGCUAAUACAUGCAAACAAGCUCGGACCUUACGGAAAGAGCGCAUUUAUUAGAUCAAAACCAAUCGGGCUUCGGUCCGUGUUUUGGUGACUCUGAAUAACUAAGUUGAUCGCACAGUUUUAUACUGGCGACGUAUCUUUCAAAUGUCUGCCUUAUCAACUUUCGAUGGUAGGUUAUACGCCUACCAUGGUUAUAACGGGUAACGGAGAAUAAGGGUUCGACUCCGGAGAGGGAGCCUGAGAAAUGGCUACCACAUCCAAGGAAGGCAGCAGGCGCGCAAAUUACCCAAUCCCAGUACGGGGAGGUAGUGACGAAAAAUAACGAGAUAGUCCACUUUGUGGCCUGUCAUCGGAAUGGGUACAAUUUAAAUCUUUUAACGAGGAUCCAUUAGAGGGCAAGUCUGGUGCCAGCAGCCGCGGUAAUUCCAGCUCUAAUAGCGUAUAUUAAAGUUGUUGUGGUUAAAACGCCCGUAGUUGAUUUUUCGACUAUGGAGGAUGGUAGCUCGAAAGGGUUUAACUGUCUCUUCGAGUCUGAAUUUGAGUUUUCUGCCGGUGUUCUUAAUUGAGCGUCGGUAGUGACUUGAACGUUUACUUUGAAAAAAUUAGAGUGCUUAAAGCAAGCUUUACGCUUGAAUAAAGUGCAUGGGAUAAUGGAAUAGGACUUUAGUCUCAUUUUGUUGGUUUUCAAGAUUAAAGUAAUGAUUAAGAGGAACAGACGGGGGCAUUCGUAUUGUUGCGUUAGAGGUGAAAUUCUUGGAUCGCAGCAAGACGAACAACUGCGAAAGCAUUUGCCAAGAAUGUUUUCAUUAAUCAAGGACGAAAGUUAGAGGUUCGAAGGCGAUCAGAUACCGCCCUAGUUCUAACCGUAAACGAUGCCAACUGGCCAUUCGCCGGUGUUAAUUUAUGACUCGGCGGGCAGCCUCCGGGAAACCAAAGUUUUCUGGUUCCGGGGGAAGUAUGGUUGCAAAGCUUAAACUUAAAGGAAUUGACGGAAGGGCACCACCAGGAGUGGAGCCUGCGGCUUAAUUUGACUCAACACGGG